This 546-nucleotide ribosomal RNA is filed under the name Penicillium citrinum. RNAcentral describes it as "SSU rRNA". It matches the Rfam family "Eukaryotic small subunit ribosomal RNA", at positions 539 to 1093 of the family's 1831-position model. Lineage: Eukaryota; Fungi; Ascomycota; Eurotiomycetes; Eurotiales; Aspergillaceae. The record is from RNAcentral.
GGAACAAUUGGAGGGCAAGUCUGGUGCCAGCAGCCGCGGUAAUUCCAGCUCCAAUAGCGUAUAUUAAAGUUGUUGCAGUUAAAAAGCUCGUAGUUGAACCUUGGCCCUGGCUGGCCGGUCCGCCUCACCGCGAGUACUGGUCCGGCUGGGGCUUUCCUUCUGGGGAACCUCAUGGCCUUCACUGGCUGUGGGGGGAACCAGGACUUUUACUGUGAAAAAAUUAGAGUGUUCAAAGCAGGCCUUUGCUCGAAUACAUUAGCAUGGAAUAAUAGAAUAGGACGUGCGGUUCUAUUUUGUUGGUUUCUAGGACCGCCGUAAUGAUUAAUAGGGAUAGUCGGGGGCGUCAGUAUUCAGCUGUCAGAGGUGAAAUUCUUGGAUUUGCUGAAGACUAACUACUGCGAAAGCAUUCGCCAAGGAUGUUUUCAUUAAUCAGGGAACGAAAGUUAGGGGAUCGAAGACGAUCAGAUACCGUCGUAGUCUUAACCAUAAACUAUGCCGACUAGGGAUCGGACGGGAUUCUAUGAUGACCCGUUCGGCACCUUACGA